AUGAGGUCUUCAUUGAUGGUCUUGGCUUCUCUUCUCCUCCUCCUGGUUCUGGCUACAACAGCACAUGGGAUUCGGCUGGACAAGGACCUGCAUGAAGCACUCAGCAACAAGGAACAACUGGCCGGGCAGCCACCCAAACCCAAUGGCGCCGCUGAUUCGACCGGCACCAGCAAGCACUGCACGUCCAAUGGGAAUUGCUCAGGAAAGGCGAAAAAGCCACCGUCGCCGCAGGCUCACGCCGAACCGGACGACGCAUCAGCAGCCAAGCAUCAGAUAGCCCCGAAGAGGAACGACGGCGACGCGCAGGUCACUAGCCACGGUGGCGGCCAGGAGGAGAAGACAUGGUCGCGCCGGGCGCUGCCGCGGCGGCCAGAGCAGCAGGAGGCGAGGACGUACCCGGACCUGAUCGACAUCGCCGGGAUGGACUACUCGCCGGCCGCCAGAAAGCCUCCCAUCCACAACUGA
RNAcentral lists this ribosomal RNA (465 nucleotides) under Triticum aestivum (bread wheat). RNAcentral's name for it is "partial small subunit ribosomal RNA". Lineage: Eukaryota; Viridiplantae; Streptophyta; Magnoliopsida; Poales; Poaceae. The record is from RNAcentral.